Molecule: ribosomal RNA, 497 nt
Filed under: uncultured bacterium
Lineage: Bacteria
Description: partial 16S ribosomal RNA
Rfam family: Bacterial small subunit ribosomal RNA
Source: RNAcentral
GACGAACGCUGGCGGCGUGCCUAAUACAUGCAAGUCGAGCGAACAGACGAGGAGCUUGCUCCUCUGACGUUAGCGGCGGACGGGUGAGUAACACGUGGAUAACCUACCUAUAAGACUGGGAUAACUUCGGGAAACCGGAGCUAAUACCGGAUAAUAUAUUGAACCGCAUGGUUCAAUAGUGAAAGACGGUUUUGCUGUCUCUUAUAGAUGGAUCCGCGCCGCAUUAGCUAGUUGGUAAGGUAACGGCUUACCAAGGCAACGAUGCGUAGCCGACCUGAUAGGGGGGUCGGCCACCCUGGAACUGAGACGCGGUCCAUACUCCUGCGGGAGGGAGCAGUCUGGAAUCUUCCGCAAUGGUCGAAAGCCUGACGGAGCGACGCCGCGUGAGUGAUGAAGGUCUUCGGAUCGUAAAACUCUGUUAUUAGUUAAAAACAAAUGUGUAAUUAACUGUGCACGUCUUGACGGUACCUAAUCAGAAAGCCCCGGCUAACUACGUG